This is a long non-coding RNA of Haplochromis burtoni (Burton's mouthbrooder), 1671 nucleotides long. RefSeq lists it as uncharacterized. The transcript has 7 exons. Lineage: Eukaryota; Metazoa; Chordata; Actinopteri; Cichliformes; Cichlidae. The record is from RefSeq and is a predicted model, not a curated record.
CGGGUACAUGUCCUACAGAUCAGUUAGGUUAAGAUAAAAUAUUAUUUUAUAUUAUAUUGAUUUUGCUUUGCCUUUGCUAAUUUAUAGAAAUAAAAUACAGUGCAUACAAAAGUCUAACCGUUGGAAAUUCCCUUUGUUUAACAGGAGUGUUUGAAGGAGUGGCUCUUCCGUUACUCAGGAAACAAAAGAGCAGUUUUAGACUUACAGGAACUCAGAGUCUGAACCGACUACUGCGGGAGCUGUGUAAGGAAAAUACACCUUUUCACCUAGAAGUUGAGUACAUCUUGAUUUAGAACAGAACAAGAAACAUUGAAGAUGCCUGUUCGUAGUUUUCAUAGUGAACCUCUGGAAAACCCAGAGGUUCUCUAUGAAGACAGAAAACAAACUGGUGUAAGAUGCAACCUCAUUUUCUUCACCAAAUCUGGAGCACACUACAGGGCUGCAAUAGAAGAAGCUUACCCUCAAUCCAAGGCUAUUCGAAUGGACAACAAACUCAAACUUGAGCUCUCUGAUGGAGGCACUGUGUCUAUAUUUGACAGUGGAAUCAUUGUGAUUCAAGGAGUGUUUGAAGGAGUGGCUCUUCCGUUACUCGGGAAACAAAAGAGCAGUUUUAGACUUACAGGAACUCAGAGUCUGAACCGACUACUGCGGGAGCUGUGUAAGGAAAAUACACCUUUUCACCUAGAAGUUGAGUACAUCUUGAUUUAGAACAGAACAAGAAACAUUGAAGAUGCCUGUUCGUAGUUUUCAUAGUGAACCUCUGGAAAACCCAGAGGUUCUCUAUGAAGACAGAAAACAAACUGGUGUAAGAUGCAACCUCAUUUUCUUCACCAAAUCUGGAGCACACUACAGGGCUGCAAUAGAAGAAGCUUACCCUCAAUCCAAGGCUAUUCGAAUGGACAACAAACUCAAACUUGAGCUUUCUGAUGGAGGCACUGUGUCUAUAUUUGACAGUGGAAUCAUUGUGAUUCAAGUCUGUAGGUUUGAAGAAUUAUAGUUUUGUACCCACUGAGGUCCGUCUCAUAUCUGAAGGAGUGUUUGAAGGAGUGGCUCUUCCGUUACUCGGGAAACAAAAGAGCAGUUUUAGACUUACAGGAACUCAGAGUCUGAACCGACUACUGCAGGAGCUGUGUAAGGAAAAUACACCUUUUCACCUAGAAGUUGAGUACAUCUUGAUUUAGAACAGAACAAGAAACAUUGAAGAUGCCUGUUCGUAGUUUUCAUAGUGAACCUCUGGAAAACCCAGAGGUUCUCUAUGAAGACAGAAAACAAACUGGUGUAAGAUGCAACCUCAUUUUCUUCACCAAAUCUGGAGCACACUACAGGGCUGCAAUAGAAGAAGCUUACCCUCAAUCCAAGGCUAUUCGAAUGGACAACAAACUCAAACUUGAGCUCUCUGAUGGAGGCACUGUGUCUAUAUUUGACAGUGGAAUCAUUGUGAUUCAAGGUACAGAAGAAAUCCUUGAUGCAUUUGAGAACAGGUUUGACACAAUUAAACAAAGAGUAAACAGCAAAAGAUAAGAACAGGUGUGGAAAACAUUGGAGCAAUUGAAAGUCAAAGAACCUGAUUCUGAAACAGAAGAUCAGGACAAACAGAAACAGUCUAAAUAAAAUGUGAUACAAAUAAGAAAAAGCAGGAAACAGCAGAAACAAUACAUUAAUAAGUGAAUA